RNAcentral lists this long non-coding RNA (37029 nucleotides) under Gossypium barbadense (sea-island cotton). Its description in RNAcentral is "long non-coding RNA (GBAR_LNC012099)". Lineage: Eukaryota; Viridiplantae; Streptophyta; Magnoliopsida; Malvales; Malvaceae. The record is from RNAcentral.
CACCAUUUCCGUACAGUUCGCCAAUAGGAACCGUAGGGGGCAAAAGCCAAGCCCUUGCCACUGUAGGUCAAGUACUCGGUAGAUUGGAGGUUAGGCCUGGAAGCAAAAACAAGGUCAUGGACCUUGAGGAACAGUUCAGCGGCUUCAGGUGAUGAUACCACAAUCGUCGGUACAUAGCCUAGCUUUAUUGACAUUAUGGGUCCAUAUUUUUUGCCAAGAUGGUGAAGGGUUUGGUGAGGAAGUUUCCCUAGCAUAUGGAGGUUACCAAUAAUGGGAAGAGGAGCAGGACCGGGUGGAGGUUUCUGGCCAUUUUUGUGGUGGUUUCGUGGGCGGAAGAAAUAGACAAAGGAACAAAGAGGUACAAGGAGUACCAAGAGAAUGGCUAACGUUGAAUAAUACAUUUGGGAUGGGAAAGGAGAGGCAGCCGAUUGACAAUUGACAAUUGACAACCCCACCUUAAAUAAGAAAGGAACAAAUAUGAGUUCCAUGUUGGCGGACAAGUAAUACUGUAAUUACAAAUAAAUAACCAAAUAUGAACCAUAUUUUUCUCAAUCAAAAGAAAAAAAACAUGAGCCACAAGUGGGGAAAGAAGUAAAGAGUAGAUUUUUACAUUAGAUUUAUUUCCAAUGAUGUCCAUGCCUUAACUUAUAUAUUUUUUGACACAAUGUAUAGAAGAUAAUGUGUUUCAGUGCGCUCAAACUCAUAUACUCUUGUAUUGACAACAAUACACAUACUAAUCUAUAGUUUCUUUCCAAUCCAUAAAUAAGAAGAUAAUGUGUUUCAGUGCACUCAACCUCAUAUACUCUUGUAUUGACAACAAUACACAUACUAAUCAAACUAAUACUCAAUCAACUAUGUUAACUUAUAUAUUGAUUGAGAUUGAUGUUUAAUCUAUUUAAAAAAAUAUCGAUUUGACAUUCAUAUGACAGCUUAAUAUUUAUAUUUAUGAUUUUUUUAUAACUAACCCAAAUAAAUUGAUUAUUUACGAAAUUGAUUUAGGUGCAAAAUCUUAUACAAAAAUGAUCUGUUUUUUUACAUUACAUGUUGAUGUCGGCCAUCCAUCACCCCUUAAUGAUUGCUCGAUCUAUAAAAAAUAAAUUUUUUGUGUGUUCACGGCACCGGUAUGUAUUUUUUUUUCAAAUACACUUAAAAAAUACAGACAUUCCAGGAUUUAAAAAAAAUAUUUUAAUAGGUGUGGACAUUCUCGUUGCUGACACCGGUUGAAAUUAAAAAAAUAAUUUUUUAUUUUUUUUAGUGUCAACAUUCUCUUUGCUAAUGUGGUUUUUGAAUUUUUUUUGCCAGCGUGCUUUGGUUGCCAGGAUAGGUUAAAAGAAGAGAGGAAGAGAAGAAGAUAAGGCAGCUUGAGCAAGAACAAUAUAGACAUGGAAAAUAUAACAAUUAAUGAUAACAAUAACCAAAUUAAUUAAUUGUAAAAUAAAUAAGAAGCUGUGGAGUUAUACCUCGUAUUUUUCAGUUUUUCUUCUCUAAAUUAAACUCUAUUUUUUAAUUUUUCACUUAAAACUCCGAUUAGUGUAUAUUAUUUUAAUAUUAUUUGACCUAUGAAUUUAGCUAUAAAUAUGUCCUUUUCCACUUUAAGAAAAUAAUCCAUUACACAUUUAGGUAUUAACUGUUACAAGCUUUCGGAAAAUUUUGUGUUUACAUUUUGAGAGUUCUUAUUUUGGGUUUCAGGAUUUAGUUUUAUCCCUAUCUUUUGUACUCUUCAUUUUUGCCAUUUUAGUGAAAUUAUCUUUACUCGUGAUUUUUUAUCUUCUUCGGAAGGAUUUUUUCACGUAAAAUAUUUGCAUUCAAUCUUUUCAAUUUCCUUGUUAUUUUAUUUGUUCGUUGCUUAAUCCGGUUUAUCUCCAACAAAAAGCCAACAUGAUCAAAUGAAAGGACAAAUAGUUAACAAAAAGAGAUAGUAAAAUAAUUAUUUGUUCGUUGCACUAUAAAAACAUGUCAUUUUGGUACAAAAUUUUACACUCGGGAUAUUUUCGUACAUAAACAAUUUAUUUAGGUCAAUUACUGAAAAACCCCUAUACUCAUCCUUGCUGAAGAAUUUUUUUAAAAUAAAUUUAUAUUAUCAACACUUCAAGAAAAGAAGUUUAAAAACAAAAAUUGUUGAAAAACCCCUAUACUCAUCCUUACUAUUGGAUUAAAAAUUGUUAGCAAUAUCAACACGAGAGACUCGGGUUGAGCUUGUUUAUUUAGAUUACUUGUGUGGCGUAUUUGGAAAAAUAGAAACCUCUUUAUUUUCUAAGAUAUUUCUAUGAAUUUGAAUGAUAUUAUUAGGAUUCUAUACAGCUGAGCUAAUCAAUUUAUCUCAAUAAGUAGAGCUAUGUCGAAAAUGGCAUCUAAAUCUUUGUGUGCGCUGUUAGUCCCAAGUAUGUGUUUUUAUCUCAAUACGGAUGGUGCUGUUCAAACAAACAUUGGGUUAUCUGCUGUAGGAGGUGUGAUUUGGGAUGAAAUUGGGAAGUGGACAUUAGGAUAUAAUAGGUUCUUGGGGAAGUGUUAUGUCUUUGUUAUCGAAUUGCGGGAAAUCUUUGAUAGUUUGCUCUUACUUUAUUUUAUGAAGACGAGUGAUUUAUGCGGUACACUCCUAUAGAGAAUAAUUAGAUAGCAGAUACAUUAAAUAAAAUGACUUUUGUAAAUGAAGAAGAGUUAUGUUUAUUUAACGUUCGUAUUUGAAGAUUCAAGAAACUUUAGAAGAUGAUAGAAUAAGGGGUAUUUUAACCCCGAGUACUCCUAUAUAAAUCUUUUGGUAUUUUUGUCUGUUUUCUACACAAAAAAAAAUGUUAGCGAUAUAAAUAUAUUUAUAAAAUUCACAUUUAUAAUACGUAAAAUAUGAAUAAAUAAUUAUCAUAAAUUUAAAUUUAUGUUUUUAGUAACACUCAAUUUAAAAUUACUUAUUGUUAAUUAAUUAAAAUAAUAGAAAAUAGAAAGCCCAAGAAAAAUGUGGACAAAUUUUAGUUGAUAACAAUUUCCCUCCUUGCUUUCACCAUCGGGAAAUAAUCAACUCUCACAGUCCGAUAAAGACUCCAACCGACCAAACCUAACCAAACCAAACCCAACCACAAAAGAAGUAAUUACUAUCUAAAAGUACAGCUCAGGUAAUAGUAGAUAUUAAAUCCUCAAGGACCACAUGAUUCAUGAACGGGAAGCCUCAAAUUAUCAUUUUAUUUUCGAUAUUUCGAAAAUAUUUUAUUGGUUUUUUUAUAAAAUUAACUCAAAAAUUUUAAUUAUUACAUAGAUGACUCAUUUUUUUAUUAAACAGGUAAAUAACCUAAAAUCUACAGUGAAAGUUGGUAGAGUCAAAAGAGUUUGACGCCACCAACAUGUCAUGUCAGUAAUCGAGAUAAAAAAUUAUUUUUUUAGUGGAGCCAUGUAGAAUGACGCUAUCUAAAUAAAUAUCAGAGAAAUACUACAAUUUUUUGAAAAAAAAUAAGGGUUUAAAAAAAAUUUAUUCUUCUGGUGGAGCCAAAUAAAUUGGCACCACCAAUUUCCAAAGCUAUUUGCGUCAUCCUUUUUGCAAUGUGAUUUUUUUAAAGUUUUUUAAAAUUUUAAAUAUAUUAAAAAAUAUUAAAUAUAAUCAAUUUUAAAAUUUUAAUACAUUUAAUAUAUUUUUAAAAAUAUAUUAAAAUUUUAAAUAUAUUAAAAUUUUAAUAUUCUUAAUAUAUAUUUUUAAUAGGUGAAGACAAAAAAAUAUUUUUUUAAUAUAUUUAAGAUUUUAAAAAAUUUUAAAAAAAUUAAAUAUAUUAAAAUUUUAAAUAUAUUAAAAAAUGUUAAGUAUAACCAAUUUUAAAAAUUUAAUAUAUUCAAUAUAUUUUUUAAUAGGUAAAAAAAGAUUUUUAAUAUAUUUAAAAUUUUAAAAAAUUAAAUAUAUUAAAAUUUUAAAUAUAUUAAAAAUAUGUGAAGUAUACCAAUUUUAAAAAUUUAAUAUAUUUAAUAUAUUUUUUAAUAGAUAAAGGUAAAAAAGAUUUUUUUAAUAUAUUUAAAAUUUCCAAAAAAUUUAAAGAAAAAAAACCUCAUUGCAAAAAGGGAUGACACAAACAGCUUUGGAAUAUAGUGGCGCCAAUUUAUUUGACUCCACCAUAAAAAAAAGGAAUUUUUUUAAACCCCCAUUUUUUUUAAAAAUUAUAGUGUUUCCCUAAUAUUUAUACAGGUAGCGUCAUACUACAUGGCUCUACAAAAAAAUAAUUUUUUUAUUUCGAUUGCUGACGUGGCAUAUUAGUGGCGCUAAACUCGUUGGCUCCAACUGUAGAUUUUAGGUCAUUUAUAUGUUUAAUAAAAAAAUGGGUCAUUUACAUAAUUAAUUAAAUUUUUUGGGUUAAUUUUAUAAAAAAAGUCUAUUUUAUUCAACAUUAAAAUAAUUUUAAUAAUUUGAUCACUAUUUCUAUGAUCCAACGAUUGAUAUGAUAUCAUAAGUUCAUUGUGAUUCUAGGAGUUUAAAUGACUACUUUUAUAUAUUUUUAGCUUUUUAUUAUGUUUUUUUAAUAAUUUUUAUAUUAUUUAUAAAUUUUUAUAAGUUUUUAUAAAAAUUCAAAUAUAUUUUAUUACUUUUAUAAUUUUAUAAUUUUUUUAUAAUAUUUAUAAGUUUUUUUAUGAUUUUUUUUAAUUAUUAUAAGUUUAUAUCAAUUUCAAUAUUUUUUAAAUUGUUAAUGAUAUUUUUCUUAUUUUUAAUGAUAUUUUUUAUAUUUUUAUAUGUUUUUAUAAAAUUUUAAAUAUUUUAAAUAUGUUUUAUUCAUUUUAUAUUUUUUUUAUAAUUUAUUAGAUUUUUUAAAUAUUUAAGUUAUUUUUAUAAUAUUUAUAAGUUUCUAUAAAUUUUAAUAUUUUUAAUAUUUAAUAAUUUAAUAAUUUUAAUGAUUUUUUAAUAAAUUUUUUAUGAUUUUUAAUAGUUUUUAUGAGAAAAUAUUAGAUUAAAUAAAAAAUUGUCACAUGUUAUUAUCUGAUUGAUCCGUCAUGUCACAUCUCAAAAAUUGAGUUAGUAGAAAUUUGGUUAAUGAACUGAGUGUGGUCACGCCCAAUUUUUUUUUAGAUAACCUUAGUACAUUUGUCAAUAUAUAAGUAUCAAGCAUAGUGAUUGAAUAGUGGUGGAGGUGUCAUUGAUGAUCUGAGUUUGAAUCCCUUCUCUCUCAUUAAUUUCCAUUUGGUGUAAUUUUGCUUUAAACCUUAGUAAAAGUCACACCAUAUUUUUAAAACAAUUGUUGUAGGAAUGUGAAUAAGGAAAUAAGUUGAUUUAGUGGUUCGGAGCUUAAAUAAAUUCCUAAAUGUCGUAGGUUUAAGUAUUCACACUCUCAAAUUUCUCCUUAUUUGAUCCUUUUUUGUUUUUUUAUCUCAUUAACAUGCCUAUUUUCUUCACCUUUACCUUGUGUGAUGUACAUUGAACUUGGACAAGGUGAAUUACACAUUUUGUUUUUCAUCUUUUAUUUUUUCUCUCCAUAUUGGAGCCCCUCUCUUUUGUUCCUUCCCUCUCUUCAUUUUUUCUUUUGUUUUAGCCACCAACCACCACCUUUACUUUUUUUCUUCUCCUCUCCUUCACCACCCUUUGCCAACGAAACCCUACUAUCACCACCACCACCACUAGACCUCCUUUUUGUCACUACUCCACCUAUUCAUUUUGCUCCAACGUCACCCCUUGCACCACCACCUUGCAUCAUCGGGGAUAAAACCUUCUUUUUCUCUCAUUUUCUCUAUUUUCCCUUUUAAUUUUCUCCUUCUCCUCUCUAGUGUCGCAACACUCUUCUUUCCCUCCUCCCUAGUCGAGUUCUCGUCAGACUACUGUCGUCAUCAUUGUCGUUGCUGCGGCUCCACUGGCUUUGGUUAUUCUUUCUCUUUUCUUCAUCAUUUUUCGAUCUCCAUCACUCCUAUAGUAAUAAAAAAAUCCUAUAUCCCUAUUUUAAUUAGUUUACUUUUUUUAAAAUAUUAUACUUAAUGACUCACUUUUACAAGUGACUAUUUUUCUCUAGACUUGGUUUCCUCUCCGAUUCGAAACCCCAGUGAUCCAUCAACCCUUUCAAUCCAACCAAUAUAGAGUAAGUAUAGUGGUUGAAUGAAAACCACUAUUCCUUCCCUAAUUUUUACCUUAGGCCGAAUGUGUAUAAAAGAUCAUGGUGUAUUUUCCUUCAAGUAUUAACAUCGUGUUCUACAUUUGAUUAAUGGCCAAUCGAUACCAUCCCGAGAAACCCCUAACGUUGGCAACGAGAUCACAAUUUUCAAUUGAUUAAUUAUAAGAGUAACCUAUCGAUUAGAUCUAAGUGUGGGAGCUCUGAGAGUGGUGAUUGGCUUUGGAUCUACUAUCAUGUGUGGGUUUAAUCUAAAUAAAAUUAGAUAUACAUUAACUCUAGUAUUUAAAUAAAUAUUGUUAUUUGUAUUGUGUUUUAUAUAGAUACUUAAAGUAUUCCAAAAAAGGAGAUUAAACCCAUCGAUGUGUAUUAUACAAAUUAAGUGACCCCAACCAAUUAGUUUAUGAAAAGUAUGUUGUGUGGUUAUGAUUUUUACUGUUUGAAAAGUAUGUUAUUCUCAUUCUUAUGUUAUGUGAUAUAUUGACAUAAUUCAUUUUACAUGAAAAAUAAAUUGUGAUAUUUUGAGAUAUUGGAAUAAUACAUGAAUCACAUGUUAAACAUGCCCUACAUGAUAUUAUGUGUUAAAGAAAUUAGAUUUGUAUGUUUCAACAUGCCCAAUGAGAUAAGUGAAAGCUUGAAACCAGAAAAAUAUGUAUAUAUAUGUUCAUUGUGGCCUUAUCACAUGCAUUGGGUAGAACAUUGCAAGGAGGAAUAAUUGGUGGCUUCGCCCAUAACCUAUAUGGCAACUUGUCUGCAAAAUUGGUGGUUUAUCCACAACCUACAUGAUAGCUUGUCUGUGAAUAUUGGUUGCUUCGUCCACAACCUACAUGAUAGCUUGUUUGUCAAUUUGGUGGUUUAUCCACAACCUACAUGGUAGUUUACUUACAAAUAUUGGUGGCUUCAACCACAUAUAUUGGAGUGAUUGGAUGGAUGAGUUCUUAGGAACUCUUUUUGGAGUGUAGCGGUGAUCGGGAGGAUGUUUUAUAAAAAUUUGAAUUAUUGUUUUAUAAAAAUUGUAUUGCCAUGAUCAUGUGCAUAAAAUUGAUUAUGUUGUAUGAUAAGUAUGUGCUUAUGGUUAUUCAACUUCUUAUAAGACUCACACUGGGCUUUAAAAGCUCACCCAUUUAGUUUCAUAAUCUUUCAGGUGAUUCAUGGACGUAGGGUUUGGAUUCAACAUUCGGAGGAGCUUAUCAGAUGGAACUUUAAUAAAUGGAUUAUAAACUAUUUGAGAUGUCAUUUUAGACUUUGGACAUAGAACUUUUUAUUAGGUUGUUCCUUUACUUUAUAACUCUAAAUUGCCAUGCAUGCAUGGUUAAUGGAUUUACAAGUAUUUUGAAUUAUUGAGUUUAUUUAAAUUAAUUAUAAUUUUUACUUGAUUUUAAAUAAACUUUGUGAUUUUUCUAAAUAUUUUUAAAAGUGUGUUGCGAAAGAUUUUUACCAAAAUCAAUUUUAAGAAAUAAUUAAAAAUAUUACAAAUUCUUAAAUUUAAUGAUUUAAGACGAGACUUCGAUAUAAAAAUGAUACUUUUCAAAUACUUGGUAUUUAAAUUUUGUUAAGUGUUUUUCAAAUACUAAAUUACUCGGUAUUUAUAUUUUAAAGUUUUCGUAAAAACAACUGAAACCUAAUUAUAUCUAACAAGAAAAUGUUUUCAACAGUUGUAAUGUGACUUCCGAGAUUCGGUCAUAACGUCUAGGCCAGGUUUGAGAUGUUGCACGUCAAUUUAUUUUAACUAUUAACGUGAUCAACCACUGAUUUCAUUAAUAGAGAGGCUUAAUUAAUUAUUUUUGUUAACAAUAAAAGCUCAAUUAGGUGUGAAUUUAAUACAAAGCUUACUUGAUUUUUCACAUUUUUGUAAUUUUUUCUUGGCAUAAAAACUUUAUUUAAGAGUAUAUGUAAUAAAAGCACCAUCUAUCCCAUCAAAAUGAACAAAAGUAAAAGAAGUCCAAUUCUAAAGCUUGAGCGUUGCAGUAUCCAACUUAAAAAAUGUUCUUUUUAAAAGAAAAAAUCUUCAAAAAAAAGCUUUUAGGCCAGUAUUUUUUGUUAAUUUUUUCGUCUUCUAAUAAAAUAUCUAGUCCAUUAUUAUCAACAAAAAGUAAUAAUUAAGCUUUUGUCGUUAGUUAAAAUAAUCAAUUAAACCCUUUCGUUAACAGAAUUUAUGGUUGACUACGUUGAUUGUAAAAAAUAAAUUGAUAAAUGAAUCAAAUGAUGACAUAUGAUAAUUUAUGAUUUAAUAUGAUAUUUUCUCAUAAAAUAAAAGAAAUUAUAAAAAAUUAUAAAAUUAUUAAAAUAUAUAAAAAAUAUAAUUAAAUUGAUAGAAAGUUAUAAAAAUUAUAAAAAAUAAUAAAUAUUAUAAAAAUCAAAUUAAUUCUAAUAAAUUGUAAAUUUUUUUAUAAAUUUAACAAAACAUAUUUAAAAUCUUAUAAAAGCGUAUAAAAAUUCUUUAAAAUCUUAUAAAAAGUUCAAUAAAAAAUAUUAAAAUUGAUAUGAACUUAUAAAAAUAAUCAUAAAACUUGAAUUGAAUCAAAUUAGUAGAUUGGACUGGUUAAACAAAAUUGACAAAGGUACUAGUCCAGAGAAAGCCAUUACACCAAUUGACUUGAAAACUUGAUGUUUGAAUCGUUUUUACUUUUUUAAUAUUUUUUUAUUUUUUAAUGUUUUAUUUAAUUGAAAUGGACGGACUGAUUGAACUAGUCAAACCGAAAAACAAGUGGACUAACUAGUUCGUCUAGUAGUCUUGCUCUGAAAACUUUGGUUAGAGUAUUCAUACUAAUGGCCCCUUUGGAUGGGUGUUUACCUCCAGUGCAGUGCAUUUAGCUUUCUUUUUGUGUCACGCUAUAGUAUCACUACAAUAUCUAAUCUCAUCGCGACCGUUGUUUUUACACUAACUAUAACACCUCUAACCCGUAUUUGUCACUGGAACGAGAUUACGAAGCAUUACCGAAAUUUACAGAUCAAUUAAACAGAUAUUUCACCUCAUACAAUAUUCAUAUCAGAAAUCAAUUAAUAAGUCCCUUAUAUGAACCCUCGAGGUCCAAAAUAUACAUUAGAAACAAGUCGAGACUAAACUGAGUACUCGGAGAAUUUUUUGCAAAAUUUCAAAAUUUUUCCAAGGUGCAGGGAACACACGCCCGUAUGGUCAGGCCGUGUGGCUCACACGGCCAAUAAACACGCCUGUGUGGUCAAGCCAUGUGGCUUACACGGCCAAUAAACACGCCUGUGUUUCAGGUCGUGUGAGCAUUUAAAAUAGGGCACACAGCAGUGUCCCAAACCGUGUCCGUACCCGUGUAACUCUCUGACUUGGAUCACAUGUGGCUUGGUCGUGUGUAGAUGUCGGGGUCACAUUGCCAAAGCACACGCCCGUGUGCCAGGCUGUGUGAAAAAUAUUGAGCAUUCUAUUUUGAAUUUUUAAAAUGCAGGAUACACAUGGCAAGACCACACGCCUAUGCGCUAGGCCGUGUGUUACACACGGCUGAGAUACACACCCAUGUCUUUGCCCGUGUGGACGAAAAUAGGCCAUUUCCAAGGCCACUUACCCAAAUUGUCUUUUACCUACAUCAACACUUUAACACAUUUACAAGGCAAUACCAAUCAUUCAAAUCAAGCUAAAACCAAGUUUAAUACAUGUUAUAACAUCCCAUAUGUCUAAGUAUUCAAUUUCCCUUAAUUGAUCCAAUUCAGAUACAUGCAUAUCUUACCAAUUAUACUAACUAAAAUCAAUUAAUUAUGAGCCUAUAUAAUCUUCAUCAUAAAACCAAUUCAAAGACUCAUCAAACACAUUAUGACCAUAUAUAACCACAUCAAAAUAUGUCCAUCACAAGCCAUUCCAAUGGCUAGCUACAACCAAACAUUUACAUUGCCAUCAUUGGUCAUGUUUAGCCUAUACAUACCAUUAUAACUAUUUUUUUUGUCAUAUAUAUACCGAAAAGUCUGAGGGAUAGUGUGAUAUGGUUCUGACUAGCUUCCAACCUUUACGAGCUUCCAAGUACUAUAAAGCAGAGGAAAUAAAAUAGAGUAAGCAUUUUAUGCUUAGUAAGUUCAUAUAACAGAAAAUUAAUUAACUUACCAUCCAUUUACAUUUAAAGUAAACAUGCAAAAUUCAUCUAAAGAAAUUUGGCAAUUUGCCUAAGCACAUAUAACCUUAAAAAACAUAUUAGCCAUGUACUUCAUAUGAAUAUCAAGAACCAAGGAUGAGUUUAUCAUGUAACAAUUUUCAUAUACAUAUGUUUUCCACAUCAUAUAACAUAUACAUUUCCAUAAUAAUUCAUCUCAAGUUCAGAUUAUCCCAUGUCGGAACGUUGCCCGUUGAAUUUAUUUGAAAUAUCGAUGGAUACAUAGGUAGUACACUUGAAAUGUACAAAAUUGUAAUCCGUCAAUUCACUCAUACAAACACAUAAACAGGAAGCUUAUGUGAGCCAUAUAAAGGGAAGCUUAUCUGGGCUGUAUAACGGAAAGCUCAUAAGAGCCAUAUUCAGAAAACUCAUGCGAGCUAAUAACGGGUAACUCCGAAGAGCCAUUAAUCAAGAAGCUCUGGAGAGCCAUUAAUCAGGAAGCUUACAAAGAGCCUUUAAUCGGGAAGCUCACGAAGAGCCAUAUAUCGGGACGUUCAUAAGAGCUGCAGUGUGUCCACAACAUAUGCAAGAUCACAACCGAUUGGGAUGCUCCGAAGAGUUACUAACGGGAAGCUCGUUAAAACCGUGUAAUGAGAAGCUCGAAAGGGCUAAUAACGAGACGCUCUUUCGAGCUGUGAUGUGCCUGCAACGUAUGCAGGACCACGACCAAUUCGGGAACCCUGUAUCAAUCGAAUCUCAUUUAUCCAAAUAGGACUUAAUAUUAAUCGGACAUUGUUAGAUAUGUGAUCAAUUUUAUAUGUAUGAUAAUUUCAAAAUUCACAUAUACAACAUUCAAUUCAAACAUAUAAAUAUACACAAUUUAGUUACAUGAACUUACUUUGACAAGUAUUCGUAUACGCAAAAUCUACUAAUUCGACACUUUUUCUUUUCCACGAUCUAACUUCGUAUUUGAGUUAUCCGGAUCUAUACGAAUGAAUUUAAUAUCAAUUUAAUAUAAUUCAUAUUCAAUUCAAUCCAAUUCACAUUUUAAAAAAAUUACCAUUUUCCCCCUAUACUUUUAAUUAAUUCUGAUUUCGUCCCUAGGUUCGGAAAAUAAAAUUCAUGCAAUUUAAUCCUUAUUCCAAGCCUGGCCAAUUUUUACAUGUAACAAUAACAACCCAUAUAUUUCAAAAAAUUCAAAAUUUUUCCAUGAAUUUUACAUUUUUACAAUUUAGUCAUUAAAUCACAAUUUCAUAAAAAUUCACUUUACAAAAGUUGUUUAUCUAUCAACAACCUUUCAUUUUCUACCAUAAAACUUCAUAAUUCAUGCAUAUUCAUCCAUGGAAAAAUCUUAGUACUUUGAUAACUUUACAAAUUAAUCCCCGAGAUACCUAAAUUAGGCUAUUACAAUCUCGGAAACAUAAAAAUCAUUAAAAAUGGAACUUGAAUACUAAUUGAGCCAAAUAAGCUUGCUACCUUCAAGCUCUUCUAACUAGGGUUUUCAUGUAAAAUAAUUUGGGAAGGAUGAUAAUAUGAUGAUAUUUUCAUUAUUUUAUUACUUAUCAUCUUUAAUUAUUUUUAGUUUCCAAUUUAAUCCUUUUCUUUAUUUAAUUUUCUAUGGAUGAAUCAUCAUACUUAUCUACUAACUCCUCUUAAUGGUCUAUUUUCCAUAUAAGGACCUCAAAUUUUGAAUUCCAUAGCUAUUUGAUACUUAUAGCUACUAAAACUCAACUUUUGCAUUUUAUACAAUUUGGUCCUUUCCAUUUAAUUAGACAUGUAAUCGGUAAAAUUUUCUUAACAAAAUUUAAAUACGACAUUCCUAUCAUACGGUAAAUCAUAAAAUAAUAUUAAAAUAAAUUUUCUUUAGAACUCAGAUUUGUGGUCUCGAAACCAUAGUUUCAAUUUCACUGAAAACGGGCAGUUACACUAACCGUAGGUAAACGCAUUGUCCAUCUAAAGGGGCCCUAAGAUAUUCUAAUGAUUGGAUAAUGAAAUUUUGGUUUGAUAGUAUCUAACUAUACCAAAAAUACUUUAUAUCAUACAAUACUUAGCAAAAAAAAAAUCACUUUCAAUAUCCAAACUACUGUACUGUACUUAAAAAAUUGGAGAUAAAAGUUUUAAAAAUAAAAACAAUAAUUUAUCAAUAAAAAGGAGAGGAUCCCACAAUUAUCGUCUUAGUUUUGAAAUAUUGAGAACAUUUUAUUUAACAUGAAAAUGACCCUAACGAUCUGAUGACUAUUCUCAUUAUCCGAUGAUUGGUGUGAUGUCAUGUGCUCAUUAUGAUUUUAGAGGUUUAAAUGACUUUUUUAUUUUUAAUGUUUUUAUGAUCUUUAUAAAUUUUUUAGUAAUUUGGAUAAUAUCUUAUAAUUUAUUAGAAUUUAUUAUAUUAUUUAUAUGUUUUAAUGAAUUUUUAUAAGUUUUUAUAAAAUUUUAAAUAUAUUUUUUAAUAUUUUUAAUUUUCAAUAGUUUUGAUGAUUUAUUAUAUGUUUAUAAUUUUUUUACAAUACUUAUAAUUUUUUAUUAUUUUAUUAUAAUUUUUAUAAGUUUAUACCAAUUCCAAUAUUUUUUAAUUUUCAAUAGUUUUAAUGAUUUUUUUAUAAGUUAUUAAGAAUUUGUAUAUGUUUUUAAAAAAUUUAAAAAAUUUUGAUUUAUUUAUAAAUUUAUUAGAUUUUUAUAUUUUUAUAAUAUAUAUGAGUUAUUAUUUUUUAUAAUUUUAAUAUUUAAUGAUUUGUUUAUAUUUUUUUAUUUUUAUAAUUUUUAAUAAUUUUUAUAAUUUUUUAUGAUUUUUAAUGUAAAAAUAUUAGAUUAAAACUAAAGCUGUCACAUAUUAUAAUCUGAUUAGUUCGUUAAUUUAAUUUAAUGGUCAACAAAGUCAACAACAAAUUCCGUUAAUUGAGGGGCUUAAUUGAUAAUUUUUGUUAACAACAAAAUCUCAAUUGACUACGAAUUCAAUAUAAGAGUUAUUUUUUUUUUGUAUUUUCUUAAAGGCUUUUUCUAUAUAUAAUCCUUUAUUUAAAAAUAUAUGUAGUAAUUGUACUAUUGCCAUCAGUUAUAUGUAAUAAUUGCACUAUCUAUCCCGUCAGAAUUCCAAUACCAAAGCUUGAGUGUCUCACUAUCUAACUUAAAAAACGUUAAAAAAAACUUAUAUACGAAAAAGGCCAAAAAAAAGCAAAAAAAAAUAAGUUUCUAUAUUAAAUUUGCACUAAAUUCAUUUUUUAUGUAAAUUAAAAUAAUUAAUUAAACUCCUCUGUAAAUGGAAUUCAUAGUUGAUCAUGUUGAUAGUUAAAAUAAAUUAACGGACCAAUUAGAUGGUGACAUAUAAUAACUUUUGUUUUAAUUUAAUAUUUGCUCAUAAAAAUAUUAAAAAAAUAUUAAAAUUAUAUAAACUUAUAAAUUUUUAAAAAGUUAUUGAAAAAGCUUAAAAAAUUAUAGAAUAUAAUAAAUAUAAUAAAUUCUAAUAAAAUUUAUAAAAUUAAUAAAACAUAUUAAAAUAUAAAUUUUAUAAUAAUGUAUAAAAAUUCUUAAAAAAACAUAUAAAAAUCAUAAAAAUAUAAAAAAUAUUUAAAAUUAUUAAAAUCAAUAUAAACAUAUAGAAAUUAUAAAAAAUCAUAAAAAACUUGAAUCGAAUCGAAUCAACCGGUUGAAUCAGUUAGAUUGAAAUAACAAUAGUAUAGGUAUAGAGAAAUCCAUUAGAUCGAUUGACCUAGGAAUCUAGGCUUUUUUUUAUUUAAAAAAAAUAUUUUUUAUUGUUUUAUUUGACUGAACUGGACGGACGGUCGAAUUAGUCAAAUCGACGAACUGAUGGCUUGAUCGAUUCAACCACUAGUUUGGUUCUAAAAACCUUGGUCAGAAUUUUUCAUACUGACAUAUACUAAUAGUUGGAUAAUGAAAUUUUGGUUUGAUAAUAUCUAAUUGUACUAAAAAUACUUUAUAUCAUCCAAUACUUAGCAAAAAAUUUUCCACAACUUGAUUCUAGCAACAUUUAGGAUCUCCACUAGCUACUUUAAGUGGUAGACUCUUAUAUUAAUUGAAGAUUUAAAACUGUUGCUGCAAUAUAAGAUAGGUGCUUGGAAGGAACGAUAGGGUAGUGGGCACUUCUCUGGCACCAAAUUGUAAAUAGUAAACAAACAGAACACACAUGUAGUUUGGUUUUUUUACGUUUAUGGAGCCUAGUUCAGUGAGAAAUAUCAACUCUCUUUAACAAUUACAAUAAGUAAUUCUAACCUAUCACACAUCUUGUGACAAUUUUCCUCACAUUUGCACCUUGAAGAUCAAUACGAUCAGCAUUAAGUCCACCCUUGUGAACUCAGCAAGUAAAACCACAACACAAAUGGUUUUACUAUCAAAUAGCACCCUAAGAAAAGUUCCUUAAUCGAACAAAUUUAAAGCUCUCAAUUCAUAGAUAAAGUGGAAAUAUGAAAAUUUAGGGAUAGGGUAAAAGCACAUAAUAUUUGAGUUACCUAUAGCAGAAACUCGACUCAGCACUUGAUAUAAUGUCAAGUUUUGAUUGAUUCAAUGAGACAAAAUACAUCAUCAACAUGCGACUGCUAAAACUAUAAAAUAAUAAAUAGUAUAUCGUGCUAAGAAAAAAGUGCUAGAUACCGGUAAUGGUAAGAGGAAGGAUGAGUAAUAUACUCUUAGAAGACCCAUAACAUAAAUGUGUUAGAGUGUUAUAAUUAUGGGAACACUCUUAGGAUCUACCUAUGUGAGUGUGAAGCGUAGCCGCUUCUAAGAGCUUUAGGGCUUGACCUUAAUAGCACUCAUGAAAAGAGGUUACAAACACAUGACCAUAAUAAUGUCCAUGAAUACUCUGCAUUGACUGCUGUUGUAACCAUUGUGUGAGAUGUGUUCGGUUAAUCAAAUGGAAUAAUCGGUUCAAAACAUAAUCUACUAUGAAAUUUUGAUUAACUUUAACAUGUCUUCACUAAGUAAAUGUUCAAUUGUAUAACACUUUCACUUAUGCAAUUGAUUACCAAGAUUAUCAAAAUCUAAAAUAUUUAAAAAAUGGAAAGAGAUUGUUGAAACAUAUUCAAAAUACUUAUAAUGUUUCAAUAAUUAUAAUUGAAAAGUUAACUCAUUAAUUCCUAUAAAUAGGAGUGGAAACACAUGUAACUCAUGCGUUUUUGAAGUUUUUAAUACUUUAUAUUAUGUUAUUUUUAUAUAUUAUGUAAUUUAGAACACAUUAAAAAAAUAAACCUAUACUAAAUAUAUAAUACUACUUUAAUAUAAAUAUUAAAAUGAUGUUAAGAUGACUAUAUAAAAACUUUCAAAAAAAUAAAAUAAAAUAAAAAUUAAAAAAUAGUAUGAGCUAGCCUAAAAUGGGUUUGAGUUAUUUUUUUAUAAAUAUGAAUAAGUUUAGAAAAAAUUUUAGUCCCAAUAUUUCAAAUCGAGCUAGACUUGAACAAACAUAAAAAAAAAAAUAUAAUAACAUGUUUAAACACGCCAGGACCCAACCCUUCAAUACCUCUAUAUGCAUCAAGCCUCCUAAACACCUCCACAAUGAUCAUAACCGUCACAACCAACUCCCCUCAUUUAUUUAUUAGCUCUUUUAAAAUAUAUCUAACAAAUCCUCCGUUUCUUUAAAUAUGACCCAUAAAACUUAAAAGACAUACUUGAAGCUUGCAUGAUCUUGCUUUAAUCUUUGCCUUUUGUUUUUUGGGAGAAAGAGAGUGGUUGGCAUCUAAAAGUCCAAUUCAGAAUUUGACACAAUUAAACAGUUUGAUAUUACAUUCCCAAUAUUUGAAUCAAGCCAAUCUUCAGUUUAUAUAUAUACCCUUUAAAGAGAAGCUUAAUUUUUGUAGCUGUUGGUCUGUUUUUGCUUGUAGAACAGUUGCUUCCAUGGGGGUUUCCUCCUUGUUCCUCCAUGACCUGUUUCUUCAUUAAAAUUUAAAAGGAUAUUGCAUGAGAUCUAACUUUGAAAUGACUGCUUGAUGUAAACUCUGAAAUUUGCUUUACUACUAAUAUAUGGUAGGUAAAUGUCAGUGUCAUGUUUGGGGCUAAUGAUAUAUGAUACUAUCAAAUGUUACAGAAUUGCUUCGUUGGUUCCAAGUUUCACCCAUGAAGAUAAUGUGAGUUUUGUGCUAUUAACAUAGAAAUAAGUUCAGAAUCACGUCCAUUAUGGGACAUAGAAUAGCAUUCAUGUAAUAUAGAUUUCAUUGUUUAAAUAUAAAGCUUUGACUUAUCUUUGACGCCACUCUAAAGUUGCUCUAACAACUGGGUCUGCAUCAUACUGAAGUCUAAAAUGAAGCUAUGGGUUUCUUUAUAUAUAUAUAUUAAACAGAGAUAGUUUCCAUCAUCUAAUUAAAAAAAAAAGUACACACCAAACACCCCUUUGCCUUUCACUAUAUAUACACUCUUUUGUAUUCUUCAAUGAAUACAUACUCAAGGAGUAGUUCAUAAGUUCACUCAAACGGAAGAGAAAUCAGACCAAGAAAAAGAAAUGGGAGUUUUUCUUCUUUCAUCACCAGCAUUUCUGGUUUUCUUCUCAUUUUUCACUUUCUGUCUACUUGUUGACCCCGUACUUGGGAUCACCAGGCACUACAAGUUUGAUGUAUGUAUUAAUUUGAUAGGAUUAUCAACCAAAUAUAUGUUUGAUUGUGACUAGGUGUACCUUACCCAUUUUGUAGGUCAAGCUGCAUAAUGUAACACGUUUGUGUCAUACAAGGAGCAUUGUUUCGGUGAAUGGACAAUUUCCAGGGCCUCGCAUUGUAGCAAGGGAGGGUGAUCAGCUUCUCAUCAAAGUGGUCAACCAUGUGCCUAACAAUGUUUCUAUCCACUGGUAUUGAAGUUUACUUUGAAAAUGACAUUAUGCAGAUAUUACAUUUACAUGCUGAAUAAAUUAUCUAUGCUUCAUGAGGGAAGGUCUAAAGUUACAUGCUAGAUAUGGUGAUGUCUUUUCGAAACAGGCAUGGCAUUCGACAGCUUCAAAGCGGUUGGGCGGAUGGGCCUGCAUAUGUGACUCAGUGUCCCAUACAAACUGGCCAAAGCUACGUUUACAACUUCACCAUUAUAGGCCAAAGAGGGACUCUCUUCUGGCAUGCCCAUAUAUCAUGGCUAAGAGCCACUCUUUAUGGUCCCAUUAUCAUUCUUCCCAAGCGUGGCAUACCUUACCCUUUUGCUAAGCCUUACAAGGAAGUUCCCAUUGUCUUCGGUAAUGAAAUCAUAAUGAACCGAUUCAUUAAGAUUCUACAUUUAUUUUGCUAACUCAAAUUGACAUGAACCCCUUUAUGAUAAAAUUGCAGGAGAGUGGUUCAAUGCAGAUCCUGAGGCUGUUAUUAGCCAGGCACUCCAGACUGGUGGGGGUCCAAAUGUCUCUGAUGCUUAUACCAUCAAUGGUCUCCCUGGACCACUUUAUAACUGCUCAGCCAAAGGUAAUAAAUAGCUAAAAUUUUGUCUUAAGCUUUAGACAUACACAUACAUGCACACAUACAUUAUAGAGCUAUGGGAUUCGCUUGUGGACUAACAACUUUGACAGAUACAUUCAAGCUGAAGGUGAAGCCUGGAAAAACUUACCUUCUUCGUUUAGUCAAUGCGGCACUCAAUGAUGAGCUCUUCUUCAGCAUAGCAAAUCACACACUAACUGUUGUUGAUGUUGAUGCCGUUUAUGUUAAACCAUUUGAGACUGAAACACUUCUCAUCACCCCUGGUCAAACCACAAAUGUGAUCCUUAAGACUAAACCAAGCUAUCCAAAUGCCACUUUCUUCAUGACUGCUAGACCAUAUGUGACAGGCCAAGGAACAUUCGAUAAUUCAACUGUUGCCGGUAUUUUAGAAUACGAGUCAUCACCCAAUAGCCUUCAUUCGAGCAUAAUGUUGCCCUUGUUUAAACCAAUUCUACCUGCUUUGAAUGACACUUCCUUUGCUACAAAAUUCGCAAGUAAACUCCGUAGCUUGGCCAGUGCACAAUAUCCUGCCAAUGUGCCUCAGAAGGUUGAUAAGCAUUUUUUCUUCACUGUUGGUCUUGGAACCAGCCCAUGCCAGCAUAACCAAACCUGCCAAGGACCUAAUGGAACCAAGUUCGCAGCUUCAGUGAAUAAUGUAUCGUUUGCAAUGCCGACUACAGCAUUACUCCAGGCUCAUUUCUUCGGCCAAUCUAACGGAGUUUACACCCCUGAUUUUCCUAGCAGUCCUAUAACUCCAUUUAACUAUAUAGGCUCACCACCUAACAAUACUAUGGUAAGCAACGGAACAAAGGUAGUAGUGCUUCCUUUUAAUACUUCCGUGGAGCUAGUUAUGCAGGACACGAACAUUCUUGGAGCUGAAAGCCACCCUCUUCAUCUACAUGGCUUCAAUUUCUUUAUUAUCGGCCGAGGUUUUGGAAACUUUGAUCCAAAUAAGGACCCCGCAAAGUUCAAUCUGAUUGACCCUGUUGAAAGGAACACUGUUGGCGUGCCAUCAGGAGGUUGGGUUGCAAUUCGUUUUCUAGCCGACAAUCCAGGUAAGUGACAUGUUAAACACCAAUUAGAUUCAUCAAAUGCUUGCUUUGAGUUGAUGACCAUUGACAACAAGAACCACAUGCAUGCAGGGGUAUGGUUCAUGCAUUGCCAUCUAGAAGUGCACACCAGCUGGGGCUUGAAGAUGGCUUGGAUUGUCUUGGAUGGUGAACUUCCUACUCAGAAAUUGUUGCCUCCACCAGCAGAUCUUCCUAAAUGUUGAUCGAUAUGACACUUCUUGUGUUAUUUUGGCCAAAAACCUGCCUGAACUUUUUUUUUUUUAAUUUCAGCCAUUUUGAUUUGGUGACUUUUUUUUUUUUUUUUUUGCUUUUGUUUCUGUUUUUGGCAUUGGCCUAUCAAUGGUCCAAAUUUGUUUUCUUGAUUCUUGCGAAGUUAGGACAGUCAGCAAGCAAUUUAUUUUGUAACAGGAUCUGCAAAUUGUCAAUACAAAGAAAUCUCAAUAAUUUAUUGGCAUCCUUUUGUUCAAUCAAUCCUAGCCUCUGAAGCAUAUCUGUACAAUUUGCAACUCCUCCGCACUAAAUUUAUUCCUUUAUUUUCGUUAAAAUACCAUUUCCCUGACUGAUCAGCUCAACCUGAAUCAUACCAACUUAAAUCUAAUAUAUUCUUGGAUAAUUGGAUUAUCUUUCUAAUCGUUGGAACAUUUUGAUUUUCAAAAUAUAUAUAGUGUUUCAAUAGUUGCAAAUGAAUAGUUAUAAGUUAGCAAAAGUUAUAUCACUUAAUUACUAAACAAAAGUUGUCACUAUUUAUAGUGAUUAGUUAUGUCUCUUAGGCUCCGUUUGUUUGACUGAAAAUAGUUUCCGGAAAAUAAUUUCUGGAAAAUGACUUACUGUUCUAGAAAAAGAGUUAAUAUUUUUUGGUAUUUGGAUGAAUAUGUGCAAAAUAUUUGCUGUUGUUUGAUAGAUUUCCUGAAAAUAUUUUAUAAAAAUUGUUUUCAAUAAAACAAACAUACAUUUGAGAUUUUAUUAUAUUUUUAUUGUUUAAUUGAGUUUAUUUCCUAAAGCUUAUUUAUAUUUUAAUUAAUCAUGUUUUAGUUUUAAUUGAUCUUAAUUUACUUAAUUAAACUUAAUUGUUAAUUUCAUACAUUAAGAAAUAUAAAUUUACGUUUAAUUAAGUUGAAAGUGGUAAAUAUUUAUUUUGAAUAUUAUUUGGAUGAGUAAGUCGAAAAAUGAUUUAAUUUGAUAAAAAUUGAAGGACCAAAUUGUAAAAUUUGUAGAAUUUUGAAAUCUAAAGGUUUGAGUAGUGAAAUCUGAAACAAUGAUGUAGUAACUAAAUUAUAUGGUCAUGAAAUAUGAAAAUUUGGAAAGUUGAGCAUAAAAUAGUAAAGCUUGAAAUUAUAGGGGUUAAAUUGUAAAGAUUUCAAAACUUGAGUUUUAGGACUAAUUUACAUUAUUUGAGAAUUUACAAUUUUGAAAAAUAGAAUAUGAAAUUUUAACUGUUCAAAAAUCAAGGACUAAUUUUUUGGAAAUUUUGACAAUUUUAGUUGUAAGGACUAAAUUAUAAAAUCUAGAAAGUUUAGAAAAGGGAUUGUUUUGCAAAAUUGUACAAAACGAGGUUUAGGACUAAAUUGUAAAAUAAGAAAAUCUACUUUUGAGGAAUUAAAUUGUAGUCUAGUAAAAAUUUUGAUUUCAAGGAGUAAAUCAUAAAAAAUAUAAAAUUAGAAUAUAAGAGACUGAGCUUCCCCUUCGUUGCUCUGAAAGCUUCCCCUUUUUGUUUUUUCGAAAGUGAAGACAAUGAACAAAGCCUUAUCAGUUUAGAAAAUGUCUUACAGAAAAAGAAAUUGGUAAAGACAUUUUCGUUAAAAAAGUUUUGGUGUUACCCUUUUCAAGGAAAAUGAUUUCGUUUGGUAAUUCAUUUUCCAUCAAACAAACACCGUAAAACAAUGAAAAUGUUCUACGGAAAAUAUUUUACAUGCAAAUAAACAAACCCUAAGUUUAUAAUAUUUUACAUCAUGUUAUUUUUUAUAUAUUAUGUAAUUUAAAACACUUUAAAAAAAUAAAUCUAUACUAAAUAUAUAAUACUACUCUAAUGUAAACAUUAAAAUAUUGUUAAGAUGACUAUAUAAAAAAUUCAAUAAAUAAAAAAUAUAUAACAUUAUUAAAUAUUAAAAUACCGCAAUAUAAAAAAUUUAAAAAAAAUUAAAAAUAAUAUGGAUGGACCUAAAAUGGGCUUAUGGGUUAGUCUUUUGUAAAUAUGAGCAAAUUUGGGCAAAAUUUUAAACCCAUAUUUCGAGUUGAACAGGGCUUGGGAAAACAUAAAGUAUGUUAAUAUCAUGUUUAGGCCCGAUCUAAUCCAGCCCAUGAACACUUCUAGUUAGAACUCGGAAGUUCUUUUAAUUAUCUAAUUAUAAAAACAAAUUUUUAUAAAUAUUAUUUACUCUUUUAAUAACUUUUCACUUUUUAAAUAUAAUGUUAUUUUACUAAAAUAUUAUUAAAUUUAUUAUUAUUUAUCAAAAUAUAUAAUAAGGAUCUUAACUUAUUAAAAAAAAAUCAUGAAUCUUUUCUAACACAUCAUUUAUAGUCCCUAACCAAUUAUAUAAGGUUUAACUCACAAAUUGAUACAUAAACUAUAUUAUUUUUCCAAUCUUGAUACCCAAACUUUUUUUAGUCACAUGUGAUGCAUAAAUUACUUUUCUUUCCCAAAUUGGUACCUCCGAUAAGUAAACCAUUAAAUGUAUUUAAAAAAUAAGCUUAACCCAUAAAUUGGUACCUAAGCUACGCAUUUUUUCCAUUUUGGUACCUAAACAUUUUUUUAGUUACAAGUGGUACCUAAACUACUCUUUUUCCUAAGUUGGUAUAUAUGCUAGUUUAAUUGUUAAUUAAACUGUUAAGCCUAUUUUUGGAAAAAAGAUAAUAAUUAAAAAUUGACAUGUGGCAAAAAAGGUAAAAACUAUUAUUUUCUCUAAUAUAUAUAUUUCUUUCUUUAGAAUCGGACUGAUGGUCAAAUCGGUUAAGCUACCAAAUUUUAGUUUGAUAAGUUUUUUUGGUUCGAUUAAAUAUGAUUAAAAAUUUAUAAUAUAAAACAUUAAAAAUAGAUAAAACAUGUUCAAUUGUCUUUUUAGCUUAAUUCAACCAGCUUGUAUCGAUUUCCGAGUCAACCAGUUCAAUCCUUAUUUCGAUUUGGUUUUGAAAACACUAGUUAUGAUCAAUGAAAUUAAUUGCCAACAUCUCGACAUCAAGACGGCAAAUUUUAAGCCUUGUUAGUAUUGUCAUACAUUAUAAAACGAAAAGGAAAUGAAAAGAAAUGAAAAUAGAAAAAAAAAAGAAUUAAAAAAUAUUUUUUAAGUUUAUAUGACGUGGCAAAUUAUUAUUGGUUGGAAUUGUUUUUAAUAGACAUAACAUUUAUGUGUAAAAUGGGUAACAAAAGAAUAGUUUAGGUACCAAAAUAGGAAAGACGAACAAUUUCACUAAUGGAGAUACCAACUUGAGAAAAAAAUAAUUUAGAUACAAAACUUAGAAAAUUGGUAUAACUUAAGUACGGAUUUAUGAACUAAGCCAUUAUCCAGUUACAUAUAACUUUAAAAAAUAUUUUAUUUGUUGACACCACUUUAAAAAAAAAACAUUUUUUUACAAAUGUAAAAUAUUAAGCUGUUAAUGAGUCAAUUGACACCACUAUAAAAAAAUUUGUUGACACCACUAUAAAAAAAAAUUUGUAUUCGGUAUGGUAUUUGUUUAGUAUUAAAAAAAUAUUCGUAUUCUUUUGGGUGCUACUUGACUAGUGGACAACACCACUUAAAAAAAUAUUUUUUUACUUCACUGGAAUGAAAAAGCUUGGGGAAAUUUUAGAGUGUCGUUGCCAGACACAUUAGCGAUACCUAAAAAUAUUGUAAAAACUCACCCAUUUUUAUAAUUAAUCUACAUCUUAUGGAUUUUUUACAAAAAUAAUAUUAAAAAAUAAUUAAUUACAAAAUGGGUUGGAGACAAAUUAUUUAAGAAAAUGGGUUGUUUGUUACUGUGCAAAUCGGUGCAUCCUGACAAAUCGGCGGCACCAACCAACAUUUCGGCCAAUCAUUACGUUUAAUUUUUUUAUUGGUGCCAUUGUGUCAAGCAGCACCGAUGUGUAUUUUUUUUUCAAAAAAAUAUUCAUAUUUUCAAGGGUCUACACCUUGAGAGAAAAAUGAAAAAAAAAUUUACCACUUUAAAUUUUUUUUUACUUCACCAGAAUGAUCGGUAGAAGUUGGGGGAAAUGCUAGGGUGGUGUCGCCCAACACAUUGGAAGCACCCACAUAAAAAAGAAUAUUUUUUUAUUUUUUCUCUCAUUGUGUAUAUCCGUGAAAAUACGAGCAUUUUUAAAAAAAUAUACACUAUAGUGUCGUCUGACACAGUGACAACAUCAAUAAGUUUAAAAAAAUGUAAUUAUUGGCUGAUGAUUGGUUUAAAAAUUAGGUGAUAUCGUUGGUGUGUCAGGUGGCACUGAUUUGUAUUGUAGCAAACAACUCAUUUUCGUGGAGGGAUCACAUUGUAUGCAAAAAAGGCAUGAGAUGCAUCAUUGGUAGGAAACAUGUGAAAAGAUCCAUAGCUUGAAUUAUGUCCAAACUAAAAAUCUCGGUCAAACUAAAAAAAAGUUUUGUAGCUUACAUGAAACAUGAUCUAGAUCUGUCUACUUUUAACAAAUUAUAUUUAUACAUUUUAUGAGUUUUAUUUAAUUUUCAAGAACAAGAAACCUAAUUAUUUUAAUUGCUUUAUUGUAUAUUAUUAGGGGAACUUAGUUUUCAAGUCUCUCACAAUGUCUACAAGUUUCAUGCUUGCUACUGUCAUAUUGCUGAUGAUUCUUUCUGGUUCUUACUUUAAAAUUCUCAAGAUUCAAUGUUGUUUUCAUUUUGAUUCUCUUAUUCUUUUGACCCAUAGACAAGUAUCUUUGGCCAUUGAUUAUCUUGAUGGUUGCCUACUAUAGUUAUCCCAUUAUAGCUUAAACAUUGAAAAACUCUAACAUUAUUUUAUAGAAGCUUUAAAUUUGAUUAUUAGAUGUAAUUAAGUUUGCAAUUAAGCAAACAAAGCUCUAAACGACCUAUUGCGGUGCUGAUGUGGCGUUGUGCCGCUUUUUAAUAAUUGUUGCGGCGUUACAUAACAGAUUUUAUCCGCAACGAUCGUGAUGCGAUUUCUUUGAUGCGUUGCGCCGAUAUUGCAUCACGGUAGUUUCUAUUUCAGUUACAAUGAAGCCAUUACGUUGCGUUGCGGCCGCAAUUUAAUACUUUGGAACCGUAGUGGGAAAAAGCCAAGCCCUUGCCACCGUAGGUCAAGUACUCAGUAGAUUGGAGGAUAGGCCUAAAAGUAAAAACGAGGUCAUGGGACUUGAGGAAUAGUUCAGCAGCUUCAAGUGAUGAUACCACAAUGUCUAAAUCAAUGUGAAGUCUAUUAUGCCACUAAGUCAAUAAAUAUAAUUUCCAAAUAAUUAUAUGCAAUAUUCACUUCAGGGAAUAUGCCAAAAUCUUCAAAUGUAGGGCAUUUGGUGUAGCAGCCCGAUUUUGGGCCUAGUCGGAACAGUGGUUUUGGGACCACUAUUUCGAGGCCAGAGAAAAUUAUUUUAGUAUUAUUUUAUGUGUUAUAAUGUGAAUUUAUAAGUGCAUGUAAAUUUUGGUAAGUUAAUUUUAGCAAUUUCUAGUCCAAUUUCGAAAAAGGACUAAAUCGCAUAAAAGGUAAAAGUUGUGUUUUGGUGCCUAAAGGUGUUUAAUAGCUAGAUAAGUAAAAUUGGGGGCUUUAAAAUGGCAAUUAGACUCUUUUAUUGAGGUGGCCGGCCAAGGGAGACAAGAUUGGUUAAAAAGCCAUAUUUUAUGGGAUUUAAAGUGAUUUUUUGGUUAAUAAAAUAAAUAAAGAAAAAGUUGUCAUUUUCUCUUUCAUUUUUUUCUCUUCUCCUCCACCGAAAUAUGCAGCAAAGAAAGGGUUUUGAAGCUGGAAAAUUUCAGCAACAUAUUUCCCUUGCUUGUAAGUGAUUUUAAUGUCUUUGCUUGACGAUUUUUACAUUUUUGGAACCCCUAAAGCAUGAGCUUUCAUAAGAGGGGACUAUUUUGAAAAAUGAUAAAGAGUAUAGGGUUUUUCCAUGAGAUUAAAUAUGUUGUUUGCUGUGUUUUUAUGGAAGAUUAUGAGUCCUAGUUGUCUAAUAAACAACUUUUGUGAAAGAAAUUGCAUGAAAACACCUUAAAAAGGGCUAGAUUGCUAAGUUGUAAAAUGAGUUGUAAAUGUGUAAAAUAGUUGAAAUUAUGAGUUGCUAUAGCUAUGAAAAUGGUUCAUCUAGACUCAAGGAGUAAAGAAAUGUGAUAAAAAUUAUUUUACGAGCAUUGGGGCAAAAGUGAAAAUAUGCAAAAGUUUAGGGGUCAAAAUGAAAAUUUGUAAAAAUAUGAUUUUUAGACCCAUAUGAAUAUGGUGACUGAUUGGUAGGCUAAAUGUGAUAUUAUAGAUCAAUGAAAUCGAGAUUUGGACCUAGAACGGAAAGAAAUCGAUUAAGGGAUGAUUAUGUCCUUUUUACCUUUGUGGUAUCAAGGUAAGUUGAUAUGUAAACAAUACCAUGCUAUACAUGUAUUUAAAUGUUAUCAUUACAUGAAUUGUACAAAUCUUAAUGUGUAUGUGAUUAAUAGAAAUAUGAUGAGACAAAGCCUUAAUAGACGAGGAAAAAUCCCGUUUGAACCUUAGGAAUAGAAUAGGAUACGAGUGACAUGUCACUAGGAAUUAUGAGUCUAGAUGACUAGCUCGAGAGUGAGCAUUGAAAUGUCAUGGGAUAUGAGGUAGCUUUAGCUACAAUUGAGGUACUUAUGUGCAAAGGCUUUUCCGAGUAUCCAAUUAGUAUUCCAAGUGUUCAACGGGUAAUCCGAGGAAAGAGUUGAUGAUGGUCCCAAUGAGGUAAGUCAUUGGUGAGUAUGCACUUGAGUUAUGUUACGAGUUGUGCAAGUAUGUAUACUAAACCUAUGAGAAUGCCUUGAUAUGUGUUGAUCUAUGAUGCAUAAAAUGUGUUCUUACCAUGAUGGAUGAAAUGAUGUUGUAUCAAUUUUGUGAACAAUGAUCAUGAAUGAGUAACUUAGCCUUGACAGAUUUGAGUUAUUGCAGUAGUGUAACUUUGAAAAUACACUAAAAAUAGUGGAAAAUGAGUUAGAGGCAGAAUAAAAUAUGGGAUUAAAUCUUAAUGAGUCUAUUUUCACAUGAAAGAAAUAUGGGAAGAAAAAGAAUUCUAUAUUGUGUGAUAUUUGAAUUCUUUUGAAACAGGGUCUGAAUGAAUUCGAGAUCCCCUGUUCUAAAUUUAUAAAUUCACAAUAAAUUGUAGAAAAAUUAUUAAGAGUCAUACCUUAUAUUCAUGGAUUUUUUAUUGAGUCUAUUUUUAAGGGAAAUAAACGACAUGGUCAUUGGAAUUCUGUACAGGGAGAAAUUUGGUUCGUAGUGCACAAGGGUCAGAGUAGUUAUACCCUGAAAUAGGGAAGACUUUAACUAAUAAACUGUACUAAAUGGCUCGACCAAAAAUUCUGGAAAUUUUAUGGAAGAAAGAUAAAUGAGCCUAGUUUCAGAGAAAAUUUAAGGAACUUAAUUUAGAGUUUUAUAGCUCCAGAGAUAAAUAAUUUAGUGACUAUUUCUCAGGAAGACAACUUACAGUGAAAUUAUGAUUAUGUGGUAAACAUUGACAAAAAUUUGUUAAUGAGUUGCUUAUUGAUUUCUUAUAAGCUUACUAUGAUCUGUAGGUGUGAAAUUCGAAUAUAUUAAAUAUAUAUAUUAUAUUUUGAAAGUGAUGCUUGAAUAGUCGAAUAAUGACUAGUUUAAAGUUGUUGAAUUUAAGCUCAAGAGCAUAGAAGGGCAAAUUCGGAUAAGGGAAAAGAGAAAGUAAUCGAAUAGCCGUUGUAAUCGUACGACAACAUUCGAGGUAAGUUCAUAAGUAUAUAAAAAUUAUUGUGAGGUUGAAAUAUGUAAUAUGUGUAUUAGAUUUGAUGCACUACGUGUGCGAUAAAGGCAAUAACUACAACAUUUAAAAUGGCGCUGGGUGCGUGAGAUUGUAAUAGCAUUGGCUGAGUAAAUGGAACUAUGUGGGUGACAUAGAUAUAAGUUCGGUUUAAUGUAAUGGCACUAAGUGUGCGAUAUAAUUAUAGCUUCCGCUAAUUAAUUGGCACUAAGUGUCGAUAUAAUUAUAGAUUUGGCUAAUUAAUUGGCACUAAGUGUGCGAUACAAUUAUAGCUUCGGCUAAUUAAUUGGCACUAAGUGUGCGAUACAAUUAUAGCUUCAGUUAAUUAAUUGGCACUAAGUGUGCGAAACCAUUAUAACUUCGAUUAAUUAAUUAGCACUAAGUGUGCAAGUUUGUUGAAUGUUCAAGGAUGAUUGAAUGAAUUAAUGUUUCGAGCAUUGAAAUGAUAAGCAUGACAGAUAAGAAGGUAAUGGUACAGGUAUGUACGAAACCUAUGUGGUGGAUGAUGUUAAGUAUGAAGUAGAUGAAAAUUUAUGUAAAUGAAUGGGGAAAUAUUAUUCGGGCCUUUGAGCCUAGCAGGCUAUAAUGUCAGUGAGAUACUAUUCGGGCUUUCGAGCCUAGCAGGCUAUAAUGCUGGUGAAAUGAUAUCGGGCCUCGAGCCUAGUAGGCGAAAUGCCGAUGAUUUGAGAAAAGUCUAAGACUAAGGUACCUCGUGUUAGAUUGACAAAUGAAUACAUUCAAUACGUUAAGAGGGCCAGGUACGCAUUAUGUACUCAUAUGUGAGUUUGAUUUGAAUUGAAUCAUAAGUGUGAUGUGAUACAUAUGUGAAUAAAUGUUAUAACUAUAUAUAUGACCAUGAUACAUUCGGUCAAGGUGUGAAAGUAUGUGAAAGUAUUUGAUUUAUUUAUGUUAUAUGAAUUCUGAUUAAGUGUUAUAAGAAUGAUGAAUAUGCAUUAUGUGCUUGUGUAUAUUCGGCCAGAUGGCAAUAUACUUAAAAUAUGGCCUCUUGAGAAAUUGAAUAAUCGAAGUAUAAUUGUAUUUAUUUGUUUGCGGAGUUCGCCGGAGAUAUUAUCACACUGUCGAGCUAACACUAUGGGUGUAGUGAUUUCAAAUACUUUGAGUCUAUGGCAUGUAUAGGUGUGUAAAUAUUAGAGUAUGUGAUUUGGCUUUAACCAUAUGUGUUGGCCUAUUUUGAUUAUAGGGUUGUAAAUCUAUUUUAAUUAUGCAUGAAUGUGCUAUGGUAUUAUGUGACGAGUUUAUAAUGAUUAAAGCAUGAAUUUUCCAAGUUUUUCUUAAGUUCUCGGUUUAGUCCCGAACCACCCCAGAUAUAUGUUUUGGGUCUCGUGAACCCGUUUAAGGGACAAGAUUGUAUGUGAAAAGAAAAGUUUUUAAUUAUUUGAGAUUUCAUGGCCCUGUUUAGUGUAGAAGUGUUAGUAAAAUUCAAGUAGCACCUCGAACCCCGUCCUAGCGUCGGAUGCAAGCGAGGGGUGUUACAUUUGGUCUAGUGGUAUGAUUUUAGCUUCGGACGCGAGAAGUCUUGUAAUAGCUCGAUUUUUAGUGGUGUCGGAAACAGUGGUUUCAGAGCCACCAAAUCUGGCAAGUAAGUUUGUAAAUAUUAUAUUUAAUAUUUAUGAGUUAUUUUUUAUUUUAAAAAGGUUUUUGAUAUAGUGAUUUUUGUUGUAUAAAUGAUUUAUUAAGUUCAAGUGGUUUUAGAAAAUGAGGUAUUGAGACCUCGUUUCUAUAAACCGAGCCGCAAAUAUUUAUAAAUAUUUAUGGAGUGUAAUUAAGGUGGUAUUAAAUUUUUUUUGGAAAAUUUUAUCGUUUCGAUAGUUAAUUAAGCAAAAAGGGCUAAAUCGCAUAAAGUGUAAAAGUUGUGUUCUAUAAGUAAAGGUAUUAAAUAGCUAUAGAACUUUAAAGUGGAAGUCCUUAUACGGUAAAUAAACCAUUAAAGGUGAUAGUGGAUGUGCAUAGCUUGGCAUUAGUGUAAUUUUUAAAUAGGUAAAAGUAAAAUAGUAAUUUGAUUAUUAAAUUAAAUUAAAUAAAAACCAAAAUGUUAUAUCAUCAUUUUGGUGUCUUCUUCAAGAAUGAAAAGGAAAAAGAGAAGCCAUGGAUGCUGGAAAAUUUCAGCCAUGUUUUUUCAUUGCAUGUAAGCCCUUAAGCUAUUAAUUUCUUGUAAUUUUUAUGUUUUUGAGAGCGUUGCAAUUAGGUCCAGCUAGCCCGUACCUUUGAUUUUAAACUGUUAAAGAUUUUGAAUGUUGCCAUUGAUGAAUCUUGUGAUUUUUGAUGUUAGAUGAUGAAUUUGGAAUGUUGAUUUAUAUUUAAAAGUAUUUUGUUAAGUGGUUUUGAUGAAUUUUUUGAUUAGGGACAAAUUUGUUAAAUUAAUAAAAGUACAAGGAUUAAAUGUGAGAUUUUUGCAUAAAUGGGAUGUUUUGGAUACCAGGAAUUUUUUUCUAAGCUCAAUUUGGGGUAAAAAUGGUUAAUUUGCAUGUUUUGGGCUCAGGGACUAAAUUGAAUAAAAGUAAAACUUUAGGGAUAAUUUUGUAAAAAUGUCAAAAAUGAAAAAAUUGUAUGAAAUGAAUUUUUUAUUGUCUAAAUUAAUAUAUUGAAUGAAAUUAUUAAUUUAGAUCAAGAUCGGGUGAAAAAUCGAGUUAAAUAGUAAAUUAUCAAAAUGCCCCUGAACUUUGGUAUUUCUGUAAUUUAGCCAGGUAAGAUUUUAUGAACUAUACUAUGUAUAUUGUUGAUUAAAUUGGAUAUAUAUAUUAUACAAUUUAGCUUAUAAUGAAACGAGGAAAAUUCAACAACGCACAACGACUAUCGAGUCUCGUUUGAACCUUAGGAAUAUUUAGAAUACGAAUGACAUGUCAUUAGGGGUUACCGUGUUAUGGGUGCUGGUCUUAUAUGUCCUAUCGAUGGCUGAGUUUCCAGCAUUUGUUGCGGUUACUUGACAGCUUGUGUUAGCAGCACCAUGUAGCUACGUCUCGACUGACAGCUUGUGUGAGCAGACCCAGUUAUGGCUCAAGUGAGAGCAUUGAUAUGAGAUAUGAGAUAGUAGUGGCUUCGACCACGUGUAGGCACAUAGUGUGCGAGACUCCAUUGUAUCCGAUAUUAUUCUAAGUGGUUUAACGGGAAAUAUGCUAUUACGAGACGCUAUGAGUUUGAUACAAACUAAUACUAGUAUAUACAUGAAAUAUAUGGAAAUGAUGGUACAUGAUAUAUUGAUAUAUUGAAAUGGAUGAUAUAUGUAUAUGAUGAAACGGAAAGAUAAUGAUAUGUAUCAUGACAUGCACAUAUAUGAAUAUCUUUGAUAUAUUGAUACAUGAUAAUUAUGUAAGUUGAGACAAGUAAUGAACUCAAUUGUGACAUGUUGAGAAAAUAAAAUUAUCAAUGUUGAAUUUAUAUGAAAUAUGUUCAAGUACGCUAACAUGUGUUGCUGUUUGAUGCUUAGGCAAGUGCCAAGCUGUUGGCUGAAUGAUAUUAUGUUUACAUAUAAGUCGUAUUGAAAUGGUAAGUGCUCAAAUGAAAAUAUGCUUAUACUCAUGAAAAAGUGAUAAUGUUUAAAAAUUAUGCAAAUUCUUAGGAAAUGGUUUAUCAUGUGAUUAAUUCUAAAAGAGCUAUGCUUAAAUGCACUACCUUGUGGCUAUGGUUGAUGAUAUGCUUGUGUCUUGUGUACUAUGUAUAUGAAAUGAGUGAUGAAAAAGAGAAUGAUGAGUUGAAUUGAUGAUGUUAUUUAAGCUAAAGAAAGUAAAUGUAAUGGAAAGUAAUGACAUGCAAAUGAAAGGAAGAAAAUUGAAAGAGAUUUAAAGUUUUCAUAAAAUCCUACUUUGUUAAGGAUGAUAGGUAUAAGUGAUGUUGUGGAAUUAUUCAAUUUCUAAGUUGUUGAAUUUGGUUUCAUGAAUCGUGUGGUAUCGGUAUAUGAUUAUUCUUGAUAUGUAUAAAUUUCAUAUUUGAAAUGGAUAGAUAUGAUUAAAGUUUAUACGAGCUUACCUUAGCAUUAUUGCUUACGUAGUUAUUUUUCUUUACUUACAGACUAUUGGAAGCUCGAUUGGGUUGGAAGCUCGUCAAAGAUUUAUCACACUAUCCAGCAAUUAUAUCGGUAGAUUUUGAGGUCUUGGUUAAGGUUAUAAUGGCAUGUAUAGGUAUUUUGGCUAAUGUUAGCCCAUGUGUUUUGGGUGUGGAAAUGACUAUUUGGUUAGUUUGCAUUUUGGCCUUGUGUUGGUAAAAUGAUAUAUAUUAUAAGGUGAAUAUAAUUAGCCUUGUAAUGGUUGAUAUAUGACUUAUUAUGGUUGAAUGAUGGUAGAUAGAAAAGUAGUUGAAUGUGCAUAUUAGAUAUGACAUAUAACUUGUUGUGAAUUGGUGUUUUGCCAUAUUAAGCAUAUAUGUGUUUUGAUGCUAUUGAUUAUGUGGUACGGUUGGUACCAAAUGGUAUGUUUUGGUAAGUGAUUUACAUGUUGUGUAAUGUUGCAAAUUUAGUUAGAAGUCAAUCAAUUAUUUUGGCCAAAUUGAGUACAUGGUUAAACAACCAUACAUGUUUUAAAUGUUGUCAUUUGAGGUGCCUUUGGGCAUAUUGGUUGGAUGUUAUUAUACCAUAUGUGUUUGGUUUGAUUAAGCAUGAUUUUGGUGCCUUUUGAGGGCUCACGUAUAUGUGCAAAAGGGAUUUUAGGUACAUGUUGAAAAGGACAAGAAAAAUGGUUUGUAAAAUAGCCUAUUUUCGUCUACACGGGCAGAGACACGGGUGUGUGUCUUAGCCGUAUGUGACACAUGGCUAAAUAACACAGCCGUGUGUCCCCUGUAGUUUUCAAAGGAUUGUAAGUUAGGUUUUAAGCGGCCUGGCCACACAGCCGUGUGACCCUUGCAGUUUGUAAAUUUUCAUUUUUUCCUUAAAAUUUCUAUAUGUUUUUGUUUUAGUCCCGAUUUAUUUCUAAUGUGUUUUUAAGGCCUCGGGGGAUCGUUUAAGGGACAAUAUGUAUGCUAUUGAUUAGUUUUACUGUGAUUGAUGAUAUGAAUUACAUGUUUUAUAAUUUUUUAUAGUCCUGAAAUGUAAACUCUGGUAAUGCUCUGUAACCAUAUUCUGACGGUGGAUACGGGUUAAGGGUAUUACAAGUCUCGAAUUUAAUUCAAAAUACUUUUAAAACCCUUUUAAUAAGAGUUUUGCAUAAUCAUUUAACUACCAAAAAUAAUUGCCUAGGUCGUGUAUAGAAACAAGUCUAUACUAAAUAUAUCAAUAAAUGUCACAUCUCAAACAUAAAAAAUAUAACAUAAAUUUUUUUAUAACCAUCAUCAUAAACAUGUAUGAAAUUUAAUUCAAAAUCCAACCAUUCAAGCUCAUAGAACUUUUCAUUUACAAUUGUUCAUAAUAUUUCUCUAAAUAAUUAACAUAUGGAAUAGUAUAAAACGUAUGAACGACUACCUUUAACAAUUCUUUGAACUAAAUCAAAUCCGAAUAACCAUAAAAGUCAUUGGUUUAUUAACACAAAUUUGCAUACUAGAUAUGUUUUAAUCAAAUAUAUUAUUUAAUUAUAAAACCUACAAUAGCAACAUAAAUAAAUCAGUUAAUAUUGAUUUUUAUGAACAAAUUAAAUGCUUAAAACAAUAUGUAAUCCAUGUAAUCAAAACUUAAAAAGAAGACCAUCUCAAAAUAUUUAAAUCAUAUAUCAAGUUGAUUUAAUAUUUAAAAACGUAAUUUUUUUCUUUUCUUUUUUUGUUCUGUGUUGAGUCUUGAUAAUAAGAAGUAAGCAAAUUAAACUUCAGUAAUAGACUUUGAAUCCAACCAAAAUCUAUUAAUAGCAAAUUUUGAGAGUGAAUCUUAUUUUCCAAGUAUACAAAAGGUACGUAACCAAUGACUCUUCAUAAAUAAAUUGUCUCUCUUCUUAAAAAGUUCUCGAAAAUUAUUAUUCUUUUCUUGCUUUUUUCAUUUUUUCACUUCUAGUGGUGAGAAAAAAUUAUUACUACAAUCUUCAUGACUAUUAUUAUAGUCCAAUUUACUACAUCCAUGUUAAAAAUUAUGUCUUUCGAAUUUAUUACAUAUUGUUACAUUCUCUUCAGGGAAUUGGGGAAUUGUUAGGUUUCGUAGUUAAAAACUUUUGUUCAAUCAUAAGUAAAUUUUUUUUCAUGAUAUUGCUACCAUAGGGGCACAUUUGAAUCAUGUAAAGUUGAAUAAGUUCUUCCUUGUAAGGUUUUUAUCAGUAAUGUUUUUUCACGUGAUUUUAAUUGAGAACUUAUUUUGAAUACUGUAGAAUUAUACUCACAGUUUUAAAAAACUUGCAACUUCAGGUGUAUCAAACCAUAAUGAGCUUUAGAUAGAUUUACCAUAUUUUAUUUCUUAUAAGUAGAUCUUUAACAGUUAAAUAUUUUGCUUUCAGCUCCUUAAUGAGGAUGAUGACCAAAGGAGAUCACAAAAAUAGUCACAAUUAAUUCAAUUUAAUAACAAGAGUAAUCAAUAACUUAAUCCUCCUUUUUUUUAAUCAUUUCAAAAUAGAUAUUUAUAGCAAUAGUGAUUCAUAUGAAAUAUAAGCUUUUCUUCAUUCACAAUCUCAGUAUGAGAUCCAUUACAAUGAAUAUAUUUUAAAACUAAUGCAUUAACCAUAAAAAAAAUUGUUCUUUUAGAUAUUGAUAUAUUAGGUCUUUUGGAGCUUUCAACUAAUUUUGUACUAUCAAAUAUUGAAAUAAUAUUUGUUUAUUUCAAUAACAAAUAAGGUAAAUAUUUUCUAUUUGUAAUGAUAGAAUUCAUUACUACAUUCUCAUAUCAUUCCUCAAAGAAUAUUAACGAAACAAAAUAUUUGGACAUAUGCCACAUAUGUGGUCAAUAAUCUUUCAUAUCACAUUGAUAACAUAUGUUAUCUUUAACCUUUAAAGAAUUAUCUUGAAAAUUCUCAUUGUUCUUUUAUUUAUUAUUAUAUUCUCACUUUUAUUGGUCAAUGAUUAUAUCUUUCAAUUUCUUUAUAUUUUCUUUCACUCCAGGGAAUGCAACAAAUUUGGUAUGACAAACUUCUAAAUUCCUUCAUUGAUUAUUUAUUUCAUUAUCACAAUCGCAAAACAUGCGUGGAUUUCAAAUCAAAAUCUAUUUAUUCAUAUUAUCAUGAUUAGUCUCAAUUAUAAUAAACAUGAUAUAAUAAAUAAAUCAUAGUAAAAUAUACUUAAGAUUCUUUAACAUCAUUGUUAUCACCCUGGCUAUUAUCACUAGCACCAUAAUGCAUAGGCCUCAAUUGAGGACUUAAAUAACAAUAGCUCUAGAAGGCAAUCGACAAUAGCUUGAGUAGCAAAUUUGAGUAACCGGCUAUUGCAUUAGUUGUUGCUUGAAAGGGGUAAGGCUUGGUGAAAGGGAAAAAAAUUUUGUGACUAAUGAAGAAAAACAGUUAAAAGAUAAUCGUGCUGAUAACGUGUUAUAAAAUAAAUAGACAGAAAGUAAAGAACAAAGAAAAUGAGAGAGAGCAAAAAAAAGCGUAUUUUAUUGAUCAAUCAGAGCAUUUAUAAAAUUUCUUCAAAUUCUCUAUUUAUAUGCAUAAGAAAUAUAAAUGAAGUAGCGAUCUACUUCUAAUGGCUAUUAGAAUUUAAAGUACAUCAAAAAUUAUCUUGAUCUUUAUAGACAUCCACUUAAUAAGAUAUUCAUAACAUGUAUAAUAAUAUUAAUUAUUUAAAAAUCAUAUAACAUAACUUUUUUUUUACUUUUGACUAUCAUAUUUAAAAAGAAUAUUUUAACCAUCAACCAUAAUUUUUUACGGUAAUAGAAAAUAUUAAAAAUUCAUAAACCACAUUUUUUUACCUUAUUUUUCAAAACCACUUUAUUUUUAUUUCCUAUAACUUUUCAAAAGUACUUUUGUGGCCAUAAGAAAUGUUAAACAGACAAAUUCUAAAAACAUUUUUGAAAAACACUUUUUAACCACAACAACUAAUAGAAAACUAUCCCUAAGGUGAUGAAAGGCGACAGAGCCACCCAUAACCAAGCCCAAAUGAGAACCUUCAGCUGAGGAGCUCACUUAAAACAACGGGACUAUGAUAGUUACCUUUAUUUUUUCGAUAAUUGAUAUGUAUCUUAACGUAUCCUUAAUUAACACACUUUAACCAACUAAACGAUAAGUUGGGUUUGCAAGUAAAUGAUUAGCCCUUGGCAACGUGAUCCCAAACUUCUCAGUCAUAUCAAGUUCAUCAGGUAACAUCCCAUCAGUCAACUCCCAAUCAAAGCAAUGAACUAAUUGAGCUAUAAUUAGACGCAUGUUGGUCAACCCCAACUGCAUUCCAGGACAUCCUCUACGGCCACUCCCGAACGGGAUGAGUUGGAAAUCAUGUCCUCGAAGGUCUAUGUUGCUAUCCUUGAACCUUUCUGGAAAGAACUCUUCAGCAUUGUCUGACCAUACUUUGUGGUCUCGCCCCAUGGACCAAACAUUCACUAAAAUCCGCGACUUCUUCGGUAUGAAAUAUCCAUCAAUGGUGAUAUCUUUUGUCGACUCACGUGGAAGUAGUAAGGGUGCCACCGGAUGCAACCUUAAACUCUCUUUGAUGACCAUAUCUAAGUAAGUAAGCUUUGGUAGAUCCGACUCUUCUACCAUUCUAUGCCUUCCAACAAUUCUUUCUAGUUCUUGUUGGAGAGCAACCAUGACUGGAGGAUGCCUUAGAAGCUCUGCAAGUGUCCACUCAAUGGCUGUAGUUGUGGUGUCAAAUGAAGCUGCCACCAUGUCCACCAUUAUGGCCUUGAUGUUUUCUCUACCAAUGAUGUACCGCUGCUCUUCAUCGUUAGGAUUCAUGGGCGUAUUCAACAAUGAAAGCAUUACAUGAAAGAAAUCUGUGUAAGGUUUUUGCUCCUUGGCGUUAGUCCCUUGUUCAUGCUCAUCAAUCAUUUUGUCAAUAAUUGCGUGAAGCCCAUUGCCUAUCCUCUUAAGCCUUCUUCUAUAUCCCUGCAGUGUAAUAUAUUAUUUUAUUCUUCAUUACUGUCAAGUCUUUGUGAAAAUACUAGAUUUAUUUGGUGAAUCAAGUAUUUUAAUUUUUUUUAAUUCGAACCAGAUUAUUUCUGGGAAAGGUGAAGACAUAACCAACUUGAUAUUUUAAUCUUUUAAAAAUCUAUAAAAUCAAAUUAUUCAAACUUAAUUAAACUCUUAAAACAUUUCUUUAUAAUUAGACUAGAUCGGUCGAUUGAACCGAUUGGGCUAAGAGUUAAUAGAGUUAUCGGUCUGGAAUGAAGGGUUAAAUUAAUUGAUCCAUGAAUUAAUACGAACUAAUUGAACCGACGAUUGAAUAAGUUUUCUUUCUUUUUUAAAUAUAUAUUUAUGAUUUUUAAAUAAUUUAUUCAAUUAAAAGAAUGCUUCAAUGGCUUCUUUUGAAACUUAAUUAUUUGUUUUCAAACUCAAGUUUUUUUAUUAUUAUUAUCAAUUAUUAUCAAUUUUUAGUGAAUUACAAUAGAAGGGCAAAGCCCUAACAGCAACGCAAAUAGCGUGAGUUGGACCUAGGUUACACCUAGAGCGGUGAAUAUCCUAAUCAUCAAGUUAACACAUAGGGUUCUUUAUCAGUUUUUUUUUUAACUUCAGCUCUUUGGCUUCGUGACAAACUUUUUUUUUUUAAUUCAAAAGGGUGCUGCUUGACACAUUGGCAACACCUAGAUAAAAAUAAUUUUUUAUUUUUUCUUUCAUCAUGUAUAUCCGUGAAAAUACAGGUAUUUUUUAAAAAAUAUAGUACUGCCUAACACAGUGACGAUACUAAUAAAAAAUUAUUUAAAAAAACAUAAUUAUUAGCCAAUAAUUGAACGAAAAAGUAGGGCGAUGUCACCAAUGUGUCAGGUGGCACCGAUUUACAUUGUAACAAGCAACCCAAUUUCGUAAAUAAAUUUUCCCCAACCCAUUUUUAUAAUUAAUGAAAAUUUUUAUAUUAUUUUUAUAACAAGCGACAUCUUAUACAAUUUUCAUAAUUUAUUUAUUUUUAUAUUAUUUUGAUAAAAGAAAAAAACCCAAGAUGGAGCAAGUAAUUACAAAAUAAAUUGUGAAAAGGAAAACAGUGCAUAUAAAAUAGGAUAAAAUGAGAAAAAGAAAGGAUAUUCACCUGAAGGUCAAGUGGAGCAAGAAAAGGUAAAUAAUCGGACAGAUUAAAAACCCCAGCCAAGAUCAUGGUCUCGUCAAUUAGCGGUUUAAAUUGGAAUUUAUCAUCCAUGGAUUGCCCGAAAAUCACUUUACACAUCAUUACUUCAGUAACCUUACCUACCUUCCGGCUAAGGUCCACCGUCUCACCCGCCGCCACUGCCUUCCUCACCGAUUCAACCAAUGACACCACCUCUUUCUUUCGUACUGGGGCAAAGCAUUCGAUUUUUGAAGCGCCAAGGAAGUGCAAAGUGCACCAUUUCCGUACAGUUCGCCAAUAGGAACCGUAGUGGGUAAAAGCCAAGCCCUUGCCACCGUAGGUCAAGUACUCGGUAGAUUGGAGGUUAGGCCUGGAAGCAAAAACGAGGUCAUGGACCUUGAGGAACAGUUCAGCGGCUUCAGGUGAUGAUACCACAAUGGUUGGCACAUAGCCUAGCUUUAUUGACAUUAUGGGUCCAUAUUUUUUGCCGAGAUGGUGAAGGGUUUGGUGAGGAAGGUUCCCUAGCAUAUGGAGGUUACCAAUAAUGGGAAGAGGAGA